This 405-nucleotide ribosomal RNA is filed under the name uncultured Campylobacter sp. Its description in RNAcentral is "bacterial SSU rRNA". It matches the Rfam family "Bacterial small subunit ribosomal RNA", at positions 355 to 776 of the family's 1533-position model. Lineage: Bacteria; Pseudomonadati; Campylobacterota; Epsilonproteobacteria; Campylobacterales; Campylobacteraceae. The record is from RNAcentral.
UAGGGAAUAUUGCGCAAUGGGGGAAACCCUGACGCAGCAACGCCGCGUGGAGGAUGACACUUUUCGGAGCGUAAACUCCUUUUAUCGGGAAAGAAUAAUGACGGUACCCGAUGAAUAAGCACCGGCUAACUCCGUGCCAGCAGCCGCGGUAAUACGGAGGGUGCAAGCGUUACUCGGAAUCACUGGGCGUAAAGGGUGCGUAGGUGGAUUAUCAAGUCUCUUGUGAAAUCUAAUAGCUUAACUAUUAAAUUGCUUGGGAAACUGAUAGUCUAGAGUAGGGGAGAGGCAGAUGGAACUCUUGGUGUAGGAGUAAAAUCCGUAGAUAUCAAGAAGAAUACCUAUUGCGAAAGCGAUCUGCUAGAACCUAACUGACACUGAUGCACGAAAGCGUGGGGAGCAAACAGG